ACUGCACAGGACCAGGGCUACCAUCUGACAAACUGCAAGGACACAGGGCAGCCCUGGAGACAGAGCUAGAGCCAAGCCUGGGGAGCCGCACAGAGCUGCGCAAAGCGUCCUGAGGUUGGAUACUUGGACUUGACACACUUGGACGUCAGUGCCUGCUGUCGAGAUUACGUGUUGGAAGACUGUAUUGGUGUGAGAGCCAAAAUCUCAAACAGACACAGCCAGCAGAAAGCAGCCGCAGAGCCCCCAGCUUCCUGGGGCACCCCAGGAGAGGCCACGGCUCUCCCUACCCAUGUGGAGGAGACAUCACAGGGCCCCCAGUCACGGAAACGCUGCCUCCCACAGCCGACUGCCUCACGCCCAGCUUCCCCGCCCCGACAAUGCAGCCAAUUCUCUUUUUCUGACCCUUGUAACUGGGGGAGGUAUGCAUACUCUUCAUAGCAAGUGAUGGCAUUUGGGGGAGUCCUGGCAGUUGCUAAGAUAAACUCAUUAGGAAAAAAAAAGUCUAUAAAAGAACAGAACAGAUACAGAAUUAACCUAACACCAAAACCCCCAACUGAAAUUUUCAUGCUGUUCAUGGAUUAUAAAAAUUGAAACCCCAGAAGGUGAAUUUUGGUGAAUAAUGUCAGAAAAUGGGCACAGACAAAGGUUGUUAUUUAUAUACAUUCCUAAGACUCUGUCAGAAGAGUAUGGACUUAGAGGGGGGAAGAAUUCACAUGGGGAGGCCACCCUUGGAGGAUUAAGGAAUAAAAGAGCUGGGACAUUUUCAAAUACAUUUUUACUCUGUAGACCACGCAAGUUACUCAAAUGAAAUCUCACCGGUGACAUCAGUGUGAACAUUUUAAUGAAAAUUACCUCGCGUAAUUACCAAGAUUCAUAUUAAAUUAGUUUCCUGAGUACUGAAAUUUCUUUGGUGUUUAUUUUGCAACGAGCUGGGGCUGGGAAGUACCUUCCUCAUUUCUCUAA
This 963-nucleotide long non-coding RNA is filed under the name Homo sapiens (human). RNAcentral describes it as "HSALNT0177805". The record is from RNAcentral. Lineage: Eukaryota; Metazoa; Chordata; Mammalia; Primates; Hominidae.